CAGAGCAGUUCUGGGAAGUGAAUCGUAAGACAGGAUCGUGCACGCCUGUCUGAAAGACACCAUCUGCCUGAUGGUGACGAAGGCUCAGCUCACCUGCAGAGACCGGGCUGUUUUGAACCUUUUAGGGUUUGGGUCUUACCCUUGUAGUCCUCGCCAUGGAACACGGUUCUAACUGGGCACUUUUCAGAGGGUGAAGAUUCUUCCUGGCUGUAUUGAAGAGGCACUGAGCAGACGCUGCCCUCGCUGGCCCCUGCACCGUCAUCAGGAUCGGCUUGUGAGACGCCCCGUCCCCAGAGGUGGCCUGGGAGAGCAGCAGCGAGCGCCCUCCAAAGAUUCCACCUGCUCAUUGGGGGAUGGAGGAGAUUCCUCACAUACGUAGCCCCCCCCCCCCCACUGUCAUGCACUGCUGCCAACGGAGAAGCGAGGAUGUCCCUCUUGGCAUUGGACCAAUGAUCGCAUCCCCUUUUAUCUACAUUCAAAGAGAGUACUCCGCUGGACAGGCAACCCUGGCGACCGGCUGGAGUACCAUCUUCUGAGGGGGCGUCGUCUUGGCAACGCACGCCGAUUUCUCUUUGUCUCUGGAGGUAUCAGCAGUGAGGUUUGCCUGGGGAAUCACAUGGGCUUCGACCAGUACUGCCUACUGCAGAGAACAGCAGUUCAGUAUUGUGUAGUUCAGUAUUGUGUAGUUCAGUAUUGUGUAGUUCAGUAUUGUGUAGUUCAGUAUUGUUUGCUUUGGAGCUGAGUGUCUGUAAUAAUAUGAGGUUGCAUGGACCCAUACCCACAAACGUGUAUGAGUGUGCAGUCAGUGCUGAUAUGUACCAACUCCUGGAGUCUUUACUGGUGGCCCACCUAUCCUGGGAUGCAUCAUGGCCUUCUCUCUCCACUGGGCACUAGCCAUGCCUCAUUUUUGGCCAAUGUUGCACUCACUAAAAAAUUCCAAUAGCCCUUUCUUACGACUGUUACUUUAUUUAACUUGUCAGUAUCCUUUGAUCGUUCCCAGUGUUUGACUUUUCUUAUUCAAACUGGUGCGAUGUCACCCUUUAAAUGACACAGAAGUGAGGCCUACUGGGGACCUUUACUUAUUCACGCGUCGUUGACAGGUAAAUCCCACAAAAUUAAACAUGGAGGGACCUGCAACACCUCUGACAGCCCCAUAUCAAACACAAUGUAUACCUACACCUGAAAGCUGUUGUGUAGCUAGCAUCCGUAAAGGUGAUCCUUCCAUCAGGCAACAUGUGGUGCGUCCAGUGGUUCCUGUUUCAUUUGCUCAUGCUUGGCCUUGCUUUUCUCUCCACAGUUAAUGCCCUUAAUUUGUUUCUGUGCUGAGUUGCACUCUCUCUGUGAUGUGAAUUUUUCCCUUGGUAGGACCCGGUUUAAUUUGCAUUGACGACGGACACAAUUUGCUGUCUCCUGGCAGCCUGGCAGUAUGGAGAUCACAUCGGCAUCAGUGCCCUGUAUGCUGGACCAGGGGGAGCCUUAGAGCCAUCCAGCUUCACCCUGAACUGGGUUACGCUCUUGCUCUUGUGUUUGAUGCUCCGCUUUUAGGAGGUCAGGUGCCGGUAAUUCUUAAAGAUAUUAAAAAGGUCUAGAAUAUAUAAAAGCUGCCCCUACAUCACGAUGGGGAAUUCUUCAUUCUGUUGCUCAUUAGAUGGCUAGACUUCACAUUCUACAAUAUUUUCUUCAACUCGAUUUUUUAGUCUCAGUUGUAAUAAAUAUGACAGUAAAAUACCGUUUGUAAAUACGCAGUAUAACUCUAUAAUGUACUAUCCCUGACAAAACAGAGUGCUUUGAGUGUGCUUUCAGUCCUUGAAUACUAUGCGGUGUUUAAUGCUAUCCAAUUUAUUAAUUCUUAUAAUUAAAUAAGGUUUUGUUUGUUCCACAAUCAUGUAACACCGAUUGGUUAAGGAGGUCCGCAAAGAACUCUUCUUGUCUGCUGCCUUUGUAGAUAAUAAUUGUGUCACUUCUAUAAAGUGGGAAAUGGAAACAUCUUGCGUUUGGAGAGUAAUACCUCAUGCUUGAUAAAUUACACGGAAAAUCUUAGUUGUUUCGACACUGUUAGACAAACCACAUUAGAUUAAAUGGAUGUUGCAGACUUGAGUAAUAUUCUAAGUCAUUGUCCCAGACGAUAAAGAGCCAAUAAGUUGUCAGCACCUUCUCAUCAGCCUGAUGAGCCUCAACCUGAUCCUCAGAGAUUGUAGUGGAGAAAGAAUCUGCUCUCCAGUGAAGCUUCAUCAAAAGCAAAUUCAAGGUCCCAACCCAUCUGAACCGAAGUCUAGUGAACUACCAUAUAUCAGUGCUAUCAAAGCAUAAAUUGGAUCAGAAGAUGAUUACUGUGCUAGCAGCAACAGAAAUAUAGCCUGAACAAAUGGAAAGUGGACAGCAGCAAUGGCUUUCAGAAUGGAGAUUCGAGAUGCCGCUGUAUAGCAGUGAAGAGACAAAUUACUCUAAGAGGAUCAGGUUAGAAAGAAUGAGUCAUUCAGCAGCUGAAGAUACUGAAGUGACUUUAGUUUAUAUUCCAUUUUCUACAAUAUAAUUGGACCAAAUAUUAUGCUGAAUACAUACAGAGUUGUGUUGUCCAGGCUCAUUAUAUCUCCUAUGGUAGGAAUCAGUAGGAUUAAUGUCCAUAAGAAACAGGUUGUCUAUCUCCUACAUAACCAUCCAACAUCUGUAUGAGGACCUCAGAUGGCUAAAGGCAUCAAAGCAAGAGUGAAUAUGGUUGAAGACACAAACACAGCGCUAUCCUCUUAGUGGCUGUGCCAAACGCCUUCUAAGCACAGCUAUGGACACCAGCAUAUAAGGCCUUGCCUCUUUUUCAGACUGCUAGCAGGAAAAUCGUAUUGGAAGUGUCGUUUUUAAGUUUAAAUACACCUUGACCAGGACACCCAAUCUCUGUGUAUUCUAGGUUCAGUACAUUUCCUGGGAAGACAUAUCUGGAAUGUAUCCUUUAAUUAGGAUGGCCUGCAUAAUAUAGCCGAAUACAGUACUCAGACUACAUAAAGAAUCAGGAAAGCUGACCGUGUUGUCAUGUAUUCAUGCAUCGGUCCAAUAGACAGAUGGGAUAGGGUAGGCUCACAUCGUAGAAGACUUCCAUUGACAUAUUGUAAUUCCCGAAACAUUCUCUAAAGUUAAUUGUGAGCACAACAUUAAUUGUAGGGAUUUGAGAAAAUGAUACGAAUUUCAAAUUGGAAAGAAAAAACGGAUUUUGUUUUUCACUGGACAUUAUUAGUGCCAAAAUCUGAUGGGCUGCUGUGUUUAAUUCUCUUUUUGGUUGUGAAGUUAGUUACAUUGUGACUGCAGAUACAUUGGAAGCAUAUUUUUGCGGCGCGACAGAAGACAUUCAGCUGAGCUCAUUCUCAUGCAUAUAAGCCUUCGUGGUGUAUCCAUCUGGAGGGUUUGAUCUGCAUUCAGUCUUGAAGGGAUAGCUAUCACAAGCUGGCCGCCUGAAUGCAGCCGAUGACAAGGUAGCAAUCUGUAGCCUUCAAGCUGACUGAAGAAGACACCCACUGGGCGUCAUGUCAAUGGAACUGUCAGAGAACCCCCCCCCCCCCCCCCCCCAGGGAUUGUCCCAGGAGGCGUCCUCAGUCACCCCCACCACUGUUACAGUCCCAUACACUUCUGUGAACCAUUGGGAAAGACUUCACCUACCUGCCAGUUCCCUGUAAAACUGAAGAUGUAGGAGUAAGACUGAGUGUGAAGUACUCUUUCAAUCAAAGUGCCACAAUAGGCCACAUUAAACCAGUGUUCGGUACCUUCUCAGCAAGCUGCAGACAAAAUGUGACACCUGUCAGUGUCUGGAAUCCACGCCAGAUGGAUCUGCCCUCUCUCAAAAACCAGUUGUCAGUUUGUACUUUUAGAAUCUUUUGGGGGAAUUGUGUGUGAGUAAAGAUAGGAAUGGACAAAGAGCAAUGCAGCGUCUUUUGAUCGGAAAUUGUUAGGGACAUAAAAUCAAAUGUACAUGAUUUGUAACAGAUUGUAAGCUAGUAGAAAACUUGCAGAUUGGUCACAUGUGACUUUUAUGGUUUCAAAUAUUCAGCUAUAAGUGUUGUGUGCCAUUAUAUAAGUAAACGAUGAAGGCGUAUGUCCUAUGAAAAGAACAUGACAAGAAACAGAGGGUGGAGAGAGACACCACAUCAGGCUCUGCAUCAGAUACGAUACAUCCUGUGACAUCCUGGCGGUGAUACUUUCUGUCAUCCCAUUUGCUCUUUUGAUGACUUAAUGAGCAAUUGUAUCGUAAACUUAAAAUAACAUUUCCAACCUAUUCUCCAAACAUUGUGCCAUAUCUAAUGCUGUAAUCAGUUUCGUUAAUUAAGUAUUAUUAAUUGACCGGGGUUGCCGAACAAAGUCAUUGAUAUACCAAAUGGAAAAUGGCCUUCUUCCAAAGAUGUUGAAAGAUAUCACUUUAUUGUUUGUUUGCUUGUGUGUUUACAGUAUUCUAUGAAAGUAUAUUAGUUUCAGUUAGAAUGUAUGAUACCAGCUUAGACCUGUAUGAAUUUAGUCUUUGCUUGCAAUGAGGAGUGUUUUGUCAUUUCGAAAACAAAAGAAUCAAGGACCUGCUUCCUGAUUUGGUAGAUCUUGUCAAAGGUUGUGUGAUUAAUCUUUAUCUUAUGAAGACUAAAUAUUUCGUUGACAGGUCUGUAAUCGUUAUAGAGACUCACUUGGGUCUUCAAAGUGGGACAAAUCAAGGAGGUAGCCCAGAGAGGGCCCAGGUACCCAUAUAAAUAAAGUGCUUAGCAUAUGGAGGUUGGGGCUGUCCGUCCUAUUAUGUCACUCAGUCUUGACGAGAUUUCUCAUGAGAAAAGUAACACUUUGCUCACAUGAAAGGGGAGCAAGCCAUAAUAGUUCCGAGCACGUCCAGUUCGCUUUUUGAUGUCGCCAUGUUAUCUGUCUUGUAGGCUUUUUGUUUCUUUUCAGAGCAUAAUUGUGUUUAUUGAAGAGGCCAUUUCACCCUCAUGGAGCACUGAAGCCUCCCUCUAAUUGCCGCCACAUCAAAUAAGUAGUAAAAACCUUCAAAUUAAUGUGGAAAAAAGCACUAAGCGUUGCCUAAAAGUGGGUUACUUCUUUGUCAUUUCUCAUCAAAGCUUAGGUGUCUGGUGGGGGGGGACAAGUGGGUUGAAAAGAGCGAGAAGGGUAAGGGGGUGCUAAUCACACAGGAAGACCUCUUCACAGAUUUGUUCUACGCCAGUGAGCGUUGGCCAUUUGAUUCAGGCGGUAGCCGGUCCCACCGCCGUGACCCUCAUUGUCUGCCCAUGCGAGCACGGGGUCCGCCGUGGACACAAAGGCAAAGGCUCAAGGCCCUGUGUGUUCUCUGAGUGUAACUUCUCCCCUCGCUGUCAUGCUCCACCGGUAUGAGUGCCUCGGCCCUUGACCCCGCACCGCACAAUGGGAGAAAAAGCCGUCAAUCCCAGGCCUCCUUCAAAGGAACAUCGCUUUUGUGCAAACAGGUCUGGAAAGUCACAGUUCAUAUCCUGCUCAAAGCAUGCCAAGAGUCAAAAAAGCCACUGGCCACUUUGUAUUAGACGUCAUGUUUUUCUCUCCCUCUCUCUCUCCCUCUCUCUCUCUCUCUCCCCCCUUCAUUUGGUCCUCAUCUUCCGUUGCUAGCAGGUGAGCCGGCAGUGGAUAGCCACCGUGUUCUGACCCCCAGCUCUGCCUUGGAUCUUGUCAAGGUCGCGACCUCCUGGUAUGCGGCCGUCACCGAUACCAGCGGUAGCACCGUAAUCCGUGUCAACAGGUCGGGUCGUCGCUCAGAAAGCUCCAAGUGAUACGACUGCAGGUUCUGAUCUGGGACUUAAGCAACUGAUGUGUUAAUUGCAAGACCAAUGCAGCGGCAGGUGGCCCAGUGAAGCACGGCAAAGAUGUGAGGACAGAUCAAACCACCGCUUGAUAAAGGGGAAACACUCUUCUUGACAACCCUUAACAGAUACAUUUACAUUUUUGAACAUAAGAACUUUGGUGUAGAAUCACUUAAAGAGGUCAAGACCUACCCCCUCAUGUCCCUACCUCAGCGCCAUGAACUUGCUAUAAGGACAUAAAGAAAACCUCUGGAAAAUUAUAAAAUAUGAGGCUUCGAGGAAACUUUCCCCAGAACAGCUUCAUCCUGCCAGAGUCACAGAUCGAAUACAAAUGAUUAUGGAACAUGAGAUUUGAUCAGGUGUGGAGGCAGAGUGUCCCAGAUGUUGCAACGCAGCCUUGUAGAAUUACACAACCAAGGGAUGAUAUUGGCUUCACUGGGCUCUGACCUGCUGCAUGCACUUGGCCAAUUUGCGGCUCAAUGUAAGCCAGCCAGGAGGAGGACCAGUCUGAGGCCAUGGUUCUCAACCAGAGAAAUGUGGAUUGCCCUCUCCUGGUUGAGGAAGAGUUACUGCCAGGUGAUCAGUUAGACAUCUUCCAGUACAACAGCGCCCCCGAAAGGAUCCCUGCUGCAAUGAUGGUCACAGAGUGCCAGUUCAGCACAUUCUGUAACAUACCCUCCUGUGGAUACAAAAGAAUGCAUCAGGGUAUUCUUCUGAGCUGAUGGACCCUAUGGGUGGUCAGAAUGGUAAACAGGGACCACAGACUUACCCAUCCACCUUGCUGCCUGAUCCAUAAAGAAACGUUUUCCCUGAUGAACUCCA
This is a long non-coding RNA of Brienomyrus brachyistius, 6611 nucleotides long. RefSeq lists it as uncharacterized. The transcript has 13 exons. NCBI's taxonomy places the organism in Eukaryota, Metazoa, Chordata, Actinopteri, Osteoglossiformes, Mormyridae. The record is from RefSeq and is a predicted model, not a curated record.